This 492-nucleotide ribosomal RNA is filed under the name uncultured bacterium. RNAcentral's name for it is "partial 16S ribosomal RNA". It matches the Rfam family "Bacterial small subunit ribosomal RNA", at positions 29 to 507 of the family's 1533-position model. The record is from RNAcentral.
AGUGAACGCUGGCGGUAGGCCUAACACAUGCAAGUCGAACGGCAGCACAGUAAGAGCUUGCUCUUACGGGUGGCGAGUGGCGGACGGGUGAGGAAUACAUCGGAAUCUACUUUUUCGUGGGGGAUAACGUAGGGAAACUUACGCUAAUACCGCAUACGACCUACGGGUGAAAGCAGGGGAUCUUCGGACCUUGCGCGAUUGAAUGAGCCGAUGUCGGAUUAGCUAGUUGGCGGGGUAAAGGCCCACCAAGGCGACGAUCCGUAGCUGGUCUGAGAGGAUGAUCAGCCACACUGGAACUGAGACACGGUCCAGACUCCUACGGGGGGCAGCAGUGGGGAAUAUUGGGCAAUGGGCGAAAGCCUGAUCCAGCCAUACCGCGUGGGUGAAGAAGGCCUUCGGGUUGUAAAGCCCUUUUGUUGGGAAAGAAAAGCAGCAGGUUAAUACCCCGCUGUUCUGACGGUACCCAAAGAAUAAGCACCGGCUAACUUCGUG